UGGGGAAUCUUGGACAAUGGGCGCAAGCCUGAUCCAGCCAUGCCGCGUGAGUGAUGAAGGCCUUAGGGUUGUAAAGCUCUUUUGCCGGGGACGAUAAUGACGGUACCCGGAGAAUAAGUCCCGGCUAACUUCGUGCCAGCAGCCGCGGUAAUACGAAGGGGACUAGCGUUGUUCGGAAUCACUGGGCGUAAAGCGCACGUAGGCGGAUUUGUAAGUCAGGGGUGAAAUCCCGGGGCUCAACCUCGGAACUGCCUUUGAUACUGCGGAUCUCGAGUCCGAUAGAGGUGAGUGGAAUUCCCAGUGUAGAGGUGAAAUUCGUAGAUAUUGGGAAGAACACCAGUGGCGAAGGCGGCUAACUGGUCCGGUACUGACGCUGAGGUGCGAAAGCGUGGGGAGCAAACAGGAUUAGAUACCCAAGUAGUCCCUGAGCGGGCUGGCAAGGCGCAU
RNAcentral lists this ribosomal RNA (447 nucleotides) under uncultured bacterium. RNAcentral's name for it is "bacterial SSU rRNA". It matches the Rfam family "Bacterial small subunit ribosomal RNA", at positions 355 to 825 of the family's 1533-position model. The record is from RNAcentral.